GCCCGGUUAGCUCAGAUGGUAGAGCAUCAGACUUUUAAUCUGAGGGUCAUAGGUUCAAGCCCAAUAUCGGGCG
Nematostella vectensis (starlet sea anemone) is the source of this 73-nucleotide non-coding RNA. NCBI's taxonomy places the organism in Eukaryota, Metazoa, Cnidaria, Anthozoa, Actiniaria, Edwardsiidae. The record is from Rfam.